AGGUUCACAUUAUUUGUUGUUUACUCGGAUUCCUGUCGAGCCAGCGCCAGCUUGCUCAGAUCCACCUUGAGUUCAAGAGCAAGUGCUCUCCUCGGUUACACAACCCAGCCGCAGCAGCUGCGGCGUCUGCUUGACACACCGAAUUACUGUCUCUCCCCAAAGAGACGGGACGCAGACCUAAAGCGCUGACUGGGAAGUGCCCUACCUGGGCAGCCUUGGAAACCUCUUCAAGUCCUGAAGUGUCUGUGGAGCAAAUUGUCCUUGAAAAUGAGCCAGGACACAUCCCUCAAAAUUCUGGAUGCUGCAACUGAGGGCCCCUAGGAAAACUGGCUACUGCCUCCAUCCUGCAGCCUCCCACUGUGCCAGUUCACUGGUCUCAAGCUGCAGACUGUGCAUUUCUCCCAGGCAUCAGCUAUCCAUCCAUCCAUCCAUCCAUCCAUCCAUCCAUCCAUCCAUCCAUCCAUCCAUCCAUCCAUCCAUCCAUCCAUCUCCACUAGCCACUACCCAUCAGUGGUGCCCUUAGCAGGAGCCCCAUAUUGUCCUCUCUCAGAAUCAGACUCACUCAAUAGAGUCAAAACCCAGGGGCAGCCAUUUUUUAUGCGCAAUUUCUGAUACUGGUGGUGCUGGGCCCAGGUCUGAAGGCCACAGAGUGAGAGGAGUUUGACCCAGGAACUUGUAGACCUUUGGUUUCCAUCACCAGGCUCACCUUGUGCUCAAGCAGGAGUGGAAGAGGAGUGACUCAGACUCACAGAAUCAGUGGGGUUGGAAAAGACCUCUGAGAUCAUCGAGUCCAACCCAAACGCCACCUUGUCAACCAGACCACGGCACUCAGUGCCAGGUCCCAUCUUUCCUUAAACAUCUCCAGGGACAGUGACUCCACUGCCUCCCUGGGCAAUCCAUUCCAAUGUUUAACAACCCUUUCCAUGAGGAAUUUCCUCCUGAUGUCCAACCUGAACCUCUCCUGGUGCAGCUUGAGGCUAAUCCUCAUUAGAUCCCUGGGAGAAGAGGCUGCCCCCGCCUUGCUGCAACCCUUGCAGGUGUCUGCAGAGAGCAGGGGUGAGGAUCAGGGGCCUGGGGAGGUGGCUCUGGCUGCAUGGCCCGGGCAGUGGCGCAGUGCCAGGCGAGGACAAGCUGUUCCCUGGCUCCUUAUUGUUACCAGAUGAGUGGGGGACGUUUACGAUCGCUGGGUAUGGAUAAUCAAAUUCUGACUGGGACAGAGGAAGGAGAGCUGCCCUCCUCUUCCCUCCUGCACCCCACACCAGGCACUCAGCCCCCUGCCCUCCCACAGGGCUUUGUUCCUGGACGUGACUGUGGAUCCCACACCCCCACGACGCCCUGCUCUGUCUGGGGUUAUUGUGUGCUGCCCAGAACAAUGUGCUGUGGUUAGGGAUGCCUGGGAGAGCGCCGGGAGGCUCCCUGCUCCCCCUCUCCCUGCUAGUGCUGGGGGAGGCAGCUUUUGGCCAUCUGGUAGCUGUGGGUUUGGUGGAGGUCCCCCAGCAGGGGAGGAGAUGCAAUCACCAGUGCUGUUCCUAGAGAGGAAAGCCAGCAUUUGGCACUGCUGAGCCACAGAUGCGCUGUGUGUCUUGGGCAUGGGAUGGCCUUGGGCACUGUAGCAUGACAGGAGAGCUCAUGUGGGAGGGGACUGCAGGAGGUCUCCAGCCCAACCUCUUCAUCCUGCCAGCUCCUGGGUCAGACCAGGUUGCUCGGGGCUUUAGUGAGUUGGUUCUUAGAGACCUUCAAGGCUGGAGGCAGCACAGCCUUUCUGGACACCCUGUAUCGGUGCUGAACUGACCUCCUCAUAGUGGGAACAGUUUUCUCAUAUCCAGUCUGAACCUCUCUGGCUUCAGCUUAUGUCCAGUGUCUAUUGAGUUCCCCUUGUGCACCUCUGUGUACAGCUUGAGUUCAUCAUCUCCAUAUCCUCCUUGCAGGUACACCAGAGCUUCUCUUCUCCAGCCCUGCACGCUCAGCCUCCCCUCGCAGGCUGUGUGAUCCCACAGGGCUGUGUGAGCUCUGGUUGUCCUGAUGGCCUUUCCCUGGGCUCUUUCCCAUGUGUCUCCAUCUCUCUUGUACUGGAGGCUGUUGCAGUACCCAGUCAUGGUGUCAGCAGGGCUGAGCAGAGGGGAGGAGUGGCCUUCUCUACCUGCUGGCAAUGCUCUGCCUAAUGCAGCCCGAGGGCCUGCUUGCCUUCUUUGCUGUGAUGAUGCAUUGCUGACUCAGUGCCCUUUCUGCACAGCUGCUCCUCCACCAGUCACCCCAGCCUGUGUUGUAGCCUGGGGGUUAUUCCUUCCCGGACCCUGGACAUGGCAUUUGCCCUGGAUGAAGUCCAUGAAUAUCCUUGCAGUAUCAAGUCAAAGAGAGUGAGGAGGCAGCAAGUGUCUUGUGGACUUCCCCGAGUCACAGCGACUUUCACUUUGUAAUGGUUUGGAAAGUCCCAUCUAGCAGACCAUACCCUCACCUUAGAGGGGAAAAAUCUGCUUUUUUGGGAUGUUGUGAUGGCUGGAAGCUCAGGCAGGAAUAGGGGUCAGGGAUAUAACCAGGAAUCAGAGCCACCCAGCGCUGAGGUGGGGACUUGGGGAACACUGGGGGACACAGGGCUUUUCACACCAAUCUGUCAUAUGCAAAACCCUCAGGAGCUAGGGGCUUCUGUGUCCUCCAGUGGCAUGGUACAGACAGGAGGGAAGGGCAAAUGUGUGCUUCCUGGCUUUGGGAGUCCCUUUGGCUGCCUGGGUGAGAUGUCCCUCCACAAACGUUCUGUUUACACAGCCCUUCUGAGUCGGGCAUUUGUGCAUUGCAGGAGCUGAGCUUUGCAUCGUUUGGACUUUUUCUUGCUGGUUGUUUCCCCUUGUGCCCAGGUCCCCCUGGAGUCCACUCUCAGACAGUUUGGUGUGGGGCAUGUUUGGUCUGGGAUUUGUUAAUCACCUUCCUUUACUGUGUGAGUCUUUGGCCAACGAGCAUGUCAGGAGAUGGGCAUUGCCUUGGUGGAGACAAGGCAGGAUAAUGUUCUUCUCUGAGGAAUAUCCAGGGAGAGCAGGAUCCUUACAGGCUCUUGUGAGACCCCAUCUGGAGAGCUGUGUCCAGAACUGGGGUCCUCAGAACAAGAAAGACAUGGAGUUGUUGGAACGGGUCCAGAGGAGACCACAGAGAAGCUCAAAGGGCUGGAGCCCCUGUCCUUUGCAGACGGACUGGGAGAGUUGGGGUGGAUCAGCCUGGAGAAGAGAAGGCUCUGGGAAGACCUUAGAGAGCUUCCCAGUAAUUGAAGAGAGCUUAUAAAAAAGAGGGAGAGCAGCUUCUUACAUGAGUAGAUACUAAUAGGACAGAGGGGAAUGUUUGUAAACUAAGAGACAAGAGUUUUAGUCUAAAUGUUAGGAAGAAAUUCUUUACUCAGAGACUGGUGAGGUCCUAGCACAGAUUGUCCAGAGAAGCUGUAGAUCCCUGGAAGUGUUCAGGGCCAAGUUGGAUGGAGCUUGGAGCAACCUGGUCUGGUGGGUGGCAUCCCUGCCCAUGGCAGAGAGGUUGGAACGAGAUGAUCUUUAGAGGUUCAUCCAACCCAAACCAUUCCAUCAUUCAUGUGAAGUGGGACAUGUAGGAACACGUCAUUGCUUUUCUGGGGAUGAAGACAAAGACCCCCUUGGCUCCCAUUCUUCUCCAGCUUACCACAGCAGCAGUGCAGGGUCUCACCCUCGCCAUAGAAAGGUCCCUUCCCCAGACCAGAGUAUUUAUUCCCAGGACUUCCCCGCCCCAGGGCUGCUCAUUCAUCUCUUGCAGACAGAAUGGAGCCUGUCACAAGAGCAGAUGCAGAGCAGGCAGAGCUCCCCAUGAGACCCUUCACCACUAGAGAUGAUAAACAGAUGGGGAAAUCUGCUGGGAAAUGCAUUGACGUAAGGAGGUGAGAGGCUGGAGCAGUGUCCCCAAGGAGGUGCAAACGCUGAGAAAGCUGCAUGCAGAGCCCGGUGCACAAUGGCUCUUUGAUAUCCCCAGACGCUGCUAAUGGGCCGUUUCCUCUCCCAGCCCUCCCUGUGGAACAGAGAUGUCUUGCUGGAUGUUUUGCCCUCCCCUUAUCUGUCUCCCUGACUGAUCUCUGGGAUUUCCUCUGAUCAGGCUGCUGGGUCAUCCCAGGCUAGUGUCCCUCGCAGGAUCCCUCUGUCCCCAGAGCUGCUGUGGCCAGAAGCAUUUUCCUUCAGAGGAUAACUGCAGCAGAUGUGAAGGGAGCGUGGAGAAGCCUCAGCCUUCCCAUCUGGAGGGAGAAUUGGGCUCAGGUACUUCAGGACUUCAAUCUGACCAAACAGCCAUCCUUGGGGGGGGUUUACACCAGGACUGCACCCUGCUGCAUCGAUCCUUCUUGGAAGGAUGAGGCCAUCUAUGCAAUUAUUUGUAUAAUCUAUGUGAUACACCUCUCCCUUUCCCUCCAGAAAUUAAAUGUGGGAGUCCCUGGCAGCCCACUCUCCCAGCCAGGCAUCCAGGAGAGCAAUCCUGAGACCACCACACUGGGCACAGCAGAGACAGGCACAUGCCUGAGAAAUUCAUCCCUACAGAUUCAAGGUGCUGAGCAGGUCUUUAUUAUCAAAUUUUAAUUACCGUGGCUGAAUUUUUAAUAGAGCAAUUGUGCAAUUCCACUUUAGAUCCCAUCCCCUAGGCCAGGUUGCUCGCGUCACACUCCCUGAUGCUGCGGCUGUGAGUUUUUUUGGCUAAUGCAGCAAAAAUUCUUAUUGGAUUUGGAAAUAGAAGAAAUUAGUUGCCCUGGGGGAAGGGGAGGCAGAGGUCUGCCUGGCAUGCAGAGCUGCCAGGAGGCUCUGACAGCCAGACAUAUAUUGCUGUUUAUAAUACUUAAUAGCGAGCAGCUCUACAAAGUCCUUUCUUUAUUCAUUUCUCUCCCUAGCACUUCACAGCAUGCAAUAACUUGGAUUUAUAAAUUAAACAUGUUCCUUGUUUUAAUACAUCAUCUACUUCUUAUUCCUUAGUCCCAUAAUGGGAUUUUUAAUUGCCUGUCAUAGAAUCGUGCAUCCUCCU
Molecule: long non-coding RNA, 5007 nt
Organism: Melospiza melodia melodia
Lineage: Eukaryota; Metazoa; Chordata; Aves; Passeriformes; Passerellidae
Exons: 3
Source: RefSeq, a predicted model, not a curated record